GCGAACGCGGCGAACUGAAACAUCUAAGUAGCUGCAGGAAAAUAAAUCAACCGAGAUUCCCAAAGUAGUGGCGAGCGAAAUGGGAAGAGCCUGUACGUGAUAGUCGGACUGAUAGAAGAAUCCUCUGGAAAUAGGAACCAUAGCGGGUGAUAGUCCCGUAUUCGAAAUCAGACCGGUGGUACUAAGCGUACGACAAGUAGGGCGGGACACGAGAAAUCCUGUCUGAAUAUGGGGGGACCAUCCUCCAAGGCUAAAUACUCGUAAUCGACCGAUAGUGAACCAGUACCGU
RNAcentral lists this ribosomal RNA (289 nucleotides) under Duganella lactea. RNAcentral describes it as "partial 23S ribosomal RNA". It matches the Rfam family "Bacterial large subunit ribosomal RNA", at positions 179 to 504 of the family's 2925-position model. The record is from RNAcentral. Lineage: Bacteria; Pseudomonadati; Pseudomonadota; Betaproteobacteria; Burkholderiales; Oxalobacteraceae.